GGCCGCGGGCCGGACGUCGAUCGGUUAUCUGGCGACUUCAAGGUUCGACUCCUUGGUGUCGACAGCGCUGCGCUGUCGGCAACCGGUUGGCACCUCACACGCUCGCGGCCCCUG
Molecule: small RNA, 114 nt
Filed under: Mycolicibacterium smegmatis MC2 155
Lineage: Bacteria; Bacillati; Actinomycetota; Actinomycetes; Mycobacteriales; Mycobacteriaceae
Description: Y RNA-like B (YrlB) RNA
Source: RNAcentral